Long non-coding RNA from Strongylocentrotus purpuratus (purple sea urchin), 377 nucleotides. RefSeq lists it as uncharacterized. The transcript has 3 exons. The record is from RefSeq and is a predicted model, not a curated record. Lineage: Eukaryota; Metazoa; Echinodermata; Echinoidea; Camarodonta; Strongylocentrotidae.
CGUAGCUUGUUAUUGAAGUGAAAAUACGUUUCAUAAAACUAAUAACAAAGUGAUCGUUUAAAAAACGAUCAUUACGAUUAUGCGCGUGCGCAAUAGCUCCAUUGUGCCUUGCCGUCGUCUGCAAUCACCGUGACAAUGAACCCAACUUCGCCGCUUGAAAUGUUUUUUUCAUAGAAAUCCCGAAAAUGUACAUUGAGACUUGUCGCAGUACCAAAUGCUUGCCUCCUCUGAGAAUGUGCUUGAAACAAGAAUGUCCUGGAGAAAACAGACCGUCACAAGAGAAGAAGGAGGGCUUCCUGUAGAAAGAUCAUGGGGUGCCUUGAGGUUCCGACCUUGAAUUUCUGCCCUUUACCUCAAAGCGAUGGCCUCUUGGAGGA